GAGAAACAUGUGAUAUCAGUUACAAAGACUAUUUUUUGUAAGAAGAAGAAAGAGUUUAUUUUUUGCUUAAUAAACUAAGUAAGGAUCUUUUGUUUGAGGUCUUUGAUAGGACAUUAAUAUUUUAAUUGAACUUUCAGCAUGAAUACAGCAAAAAAAUAUCAAAAUACAAUUAUAAUAGAGGCCCGCCAUUUUGAACUGAAAAGAAAUAGAAGUUACAAAUACAAUAGAUAUAGCAUUGAAAAUGAAGAAAGUACAUGGUUUUGCUUUUCUAUAAAAUCAAUAAAUUAAGAUAAAAUACGAUACAAAGUUAUUAAUAAGUUCCUGAGACAAAAGUAUGCAUUGCAUGCCAGUUUCUUCAUCAAAAGUUAAAGCCAAAGUAAAAGUCAAAGUAAUGUCUAAAGUAAAAGUAACGGUCAAAUUCAAUUUUUCUAUUAGUUUUGCUGUCACUUUAGCCUUGAAAAAACGUAUUUGACCGUUACUUUUACUUUAGACAUUACUUUUACUUUAACUUUUGAUGAAGAAACUGGCCGAAAACAGUAAUAAAUAUAAGUUAAAUUAUUAUUUCUUCAAUUCAUGUUACAAAUAAUUUCACAAGAUACAUAAAAAAUACAGGAUAUGUAGCAAUUGUAAACUGACCAAUAAAAAUACCUAAGAUUAAUUACAGACAUAAACUUAGUCGCAAGUAACGACAGCUUGACAUUUAUUAAAACUAGUUUUGAUUUAAUGUACUUACAGUAAAUUAAUUAUUACUUAUAGCAGACAAAUUACAAGUUAUAAUGGAGGUAAAUAAGCGAAUGUAACUAAUAAGGAUUUACGUUUAGCCGGUAAGAUUAUAUAAAUGUUACUUGUCUGAGUUAAAACUUAAGAACUACCGAUCGGAUUUUUGUACUGUUGUCACCAAAAGAUAAAGAGUGGUUCACGAGCUAAAUUUACAAUCUACAUACAUCUAUGUUUCUAGCCGUUUCCUAGGGUUCUUUUAGCACCCCGAGGCAACUGCUUCCCGCAUCCGAAUAAAAAGUAACCUGUCUUAACUCAGACUCUUAACUCCAGACUGUCUGCCUUUUUUUCAUUUAUCCCUAAUAAUAUUAUAAAUGCGAAAGUAACUCUGUCUGUCUGUCUAUUACGGUUUCACGUAUAAACCACUGAACUGGUUUUCAUAAAAGGUACAGAGAUAGAGUUGACCUUGAGAGAGAACAUAGUAUAGUUUUUAUCCCGGACUUUUGAAGAAUGCUCUUGGUAACGCGAUAUAACUGAACUCUACGCGGGCGGAAGCUAGUCCGAUAUAAUUCAGUAAGUAGUUAACAUACAGACAGAGUGUUUUGCAUUUACCUAUAACUUAAAUAAAGAUUUAUACAGAUGCAAAGCCGGGAACAUUUGCAAAUAAACAAUAAUCAAGCAAGUUGAUUAUAGCGUAGUUAUCCAUUAUGCACUUAUUUGAACACUUUUAAUGAGUUACACAUGACUUUGCAGAUGUAUCUGACUACGUAAACACAUAUCAUUUGUUUACAUUGCAGCUUAGGUGAUAAAGAUGACGUCUAAUGCAUUUUCAAGUACCUACAUAAUGAUAUCUAGCAUCUAGUACUGUUUACGCUAUUUAAAAUAUAAAGGCUUUAAAAACAUCAGUAUCUUUUAUGAGACUUAGGGAGAAGUUUAUCAAUUCGCUUUUUUAUAUUUUGUUAAAAGACUUUUCCUGUUUCUAAUCACCGUUGCAGCGUAAAAUAAAUAAAUAAACAGUAGAGAGGUGCUCAGAAACCUGCCAUUAGUGGUGUUAAAAUAUCAAUCUAAUGCAACACAAUACUAUAACCGCAUGAAAUAACUAGCUCCUGUUUGUGGCUUUGUUUGCGUAGUAUUUGAUUACCGGAAGUACCUGCCUACUUAUUCUCAUUCAAUGAUAUACUUCAUCUACAAUUUUUCAGGUAAGUUAAGGUAAAAUUUAAAGUUUUGUCUAAACAAGGGACCUAAAUACAACGCAAUAAGGUAUUAAAACUAUUUCUUAAUAAUUUAUAGUUAUAGGUGCUUACAAAAGUAGUUAAAAUGUUUCAAAAUCAGACCAUUAAUACAAAUGUAGGUGAAUACAUGAAAGGUCAAAGGUUUAGCCAAUUAAAUAAUAAAAGCCAAUGACGAUGCCACUCGCAAGAUUUAUGUAUACAGGAUGAUCCAUAAACUUUGCGCAAAUGUCAUGUUCAAAUGAGAAAAUUAGAUGCUAUAACAAUAUCGCUUUUAUUUAUAAUCAUUUACGGAUUCAGCCUAAUCUGUUAAUGUAAUUUCUUAAUUCAUCAUCAUCGUCCUGCACUUAACCCAAUUUUAUUUGGGAAUCGUCACAGUAUGUUUUCUUCUUCACUUCUAAAUUGAUUUCAAAUAAUUCAUGUGUCAUCAAUGUAUAUUAAGUAACUCAAAUUAAUGUUUCUAAGAUACUAUUCUGUUGAUUUUUCGUCACUUACAGUCAGUUGCUCACUUAGUAAUUGUAUAACCCAAAUUAAUUAAUUUUGACACUUAAAAUUGUAAUUUAUAGUCACCAUUCACAACUGAUUUGACAAACCAAAAGUCAUGUAACAAAAAAACAGCAACCUGUAUAUCGCAAAAUAAUUGCAUCAAAAUAUGCGCGCACGCAACAAGAUCUAGCGAAUGCACGCGAGAGCAAACUCAGUAUUCUUCUGACUCGCGCACUGUCAACACGUUUGUCAUUUAUUUUGAUUUAUUUAAAAGUUUUCCGCGAAAUAUACACUACUACGUAACAUUACAAAUAGGUAGUGAAAAAUAUUUGGGAUUUUUUUAUGAUGAAGGAAUAAUAAAUUGUUAUGUAAAAAAAAAUUGGACGCUCGGAAAAUGGAAAACUGAGAACUGUCUCGAGCUGACAUUGAGAGGAAAUUACCACGUUUUUGCAAUUGAAAACGUCACAGACAGAUAACAACAAAGAAUCUAAUUUGAAACAUAAAUAACUACCAUUAAUAGGAGGUUUGACGUUAAAAGGGUAUCGGUAAGACUUCGUAAUUUAUUAUUUAUUUAUCGUUGUUUAUAAUAAACUCUUCUAACGGUU
Helicoverpa armigera (cotton bollworm) is the source of this 3037-nucleotide long non-coding RNA. RefSeq lists it as uncharacterized. The record is from RefSeq and is a predicted model, not a curated record. The transcript is spliced from 2 exons. Lineage: Eukaryota; Metazoa; Arthropoda; Insecta; Lepidoptera; Noctuidae.